AUGGACAUAUACAGAGGGGUUACAACUUGCAUUCCUAGAGCUGGCGACACAAUUCUUCUAUGGAAAGAUAUUCCGAUCGAUGACGAACCCCUUUCCAACAAGCUGCCACACAUGUUCACUUCCACAAGGGAGGAGGAUAUUUCUAUAGUGCAAUUCCAAGACAGACCACAGGCUUCUAAAAACUUUCACCUCACUCUAUCAAUCAAGGCGCUACAUGAAUUAACAUAUCUGCAGAAUCAUAUGAAUGAUCUCUACUUGGAACCAAUGAUGGCUGAUGAAUGGAUUACUUGUUGGGGAGAUGUUCAGUUUCGGCCCAAGAAAUUCACCAACUUCUUCUUCAGAGAACUGCAGCCACCCGCAUACAUCACAAUGAUCUGGAAGACAAAGUGUAUCAUGAAACUUAAAGUGUUCACCUGGCCGAUGUUAAUGGACAGAGUCAACGUAAGGGACAUGCUCCACCGGAGACAUUUUGAUAUUGGAGUCACUCCUGUCUUUUGUGCAACACCACACCACUGGAAACGAACAAACACCCAUUUUUUUAGUGCACCUUCAGUGCGGUCUAUUGGAACUCCAUCAAUAUUCAAUGGGAUACCAACUUGGAGCUUCAGGAGAUGUUUGAUGCAGUGA
Molecule: ribosomal RNA, 627 nt
Filed under: Triticum aestivum (bread wheat)
Lineage: Eukaryota; Viridiplantae; Streptophyta; Magnoliopsida; Poales; Poaceae
Description: partial small subunit ribosomal RNA
Source: RNAcentral